RNAcentral lists this transfer RNA (61 nucleotides) under Ictidomys tridecemlineatus (thirteen-lined ground squirrel). RNAcentral describes it as "Spermophilus tridecemlineatus (thirteen-lined ground squirrel) tRNA". It matches the Rfam family "tRNA", at positions 6 to 65 of the family's 71-position model. Rfam says of the family: Transfer RNA (tRNA) molecules are approximately 80 nucleotides in length. Their secondary structure includes four short double-helical elements and three loops (D, anti-codon, and T loops). Lineage: Eukaryota; Metazoa; Chordata; Mammalia; Rodentia; Sciuridae. The record is from Rfam by way of RNAcentral.
UGUAGCUCAGUGAUAGAGUGCUUGCCUAGUAUACAAAAUGCCCUGGGUUCAAUACCCAGCA